This 1895-nucleotide ribosomal RNA is filed under the name human gut metagenome. Its description in RNAcentral is "bacterial LSU rRNA". It matches the Rfam family "Bacterial large subunit ribosomal RNA", at positions 1154 to 2925 of the family's 2925-position model. The record is from RNAcentral.
UGGUUCCGCGCCGACAAUGUAGCGGGGCUCAAGCACACCACCGAAGACGCGGCAGCAAUCUUCAUGGUUGCUGGGUAGGAGAGCGUCCUGCGAGGGGCGAAGCGGCGGUGGAAACCGGCCGUGGACUUCGUGGGAGUGAGAAUGCAGACAUGAGUAGCGAGAGACGGGUGAGGAUCCCGUCCGCUGGAUGACCAAGGGUUCCGGGGCCACGUUCGUCGUCCCCGGGUGAGUCGGGUCCUAAGGCGAGGCCGACAGGCGUAGUCGAAUGGAUGAACGGGUGGAUAUUCCCGUACCGACCAUGGACCGGCAAAACCGAGACGGUGAGUACUAACCUCCGCCUCGUGGUGGUUCCUUCCUUCGGGUUGGUGUCGCCGCGUGGUGUUGGGACUGUAGCCGUAGUAGGUCAGCGCAGGGGUGACACGGAAUGGGAGCCGGCCGCGGAGGUGGUUUUCCGUGGUCAAGCACGCAGCCAGUCAUGUAGGCAAAUCCGCAUGGCGCGCAUGGCGAGGUGUGAUGAUGGGAGCCGUUAUGGCUCGAUAUCCGGUUGUCCAGGCCGUCGAGAAAAGCCUCGGCGUGAGGGCCAUGGCCGCCCGUACCCCAAACCGACACUGGUGGUCAGGUAGAGAAUACCAAGGCGAUCGAGCGAAUCCUGGUCAAGGAACUCGGCAAAUCACUCCCGUGCCUUCGGUAUAAGGGAGACCCACUGGGGUGAAGGACCUUGCGUCCGGAGCUUUGGUGGGUGGCACAGACCAGGGGGUAGCGACUGUUUACCAAAAACACAGGUGCAUGCGAAGGCGAAAGCCGCUGUAUAUGCACUGACGCCUGCCCGGUGCCGGAAGGUUAAGAGGAUCCGUCAACUCUUCGGAGCGAAGCGGUGAAUUCAAGCCCCGGUAAACGGCGGUGGUAACUAUAACCAUCCUAAGGUAGCGAAAUUCCUUGUCGGGUAAGUUCCGACCUGCACGAAUGGCGUAACGACUUCCCCACUGUCUCGACCAGGAGCUCGGCGAAAUUGCAGUACGAGUAAAGAUGCUCGUUAAGCGCAGAAGGACGAAAAGACCCCGGGACCUUUACUAUACCUUGGUAUUGGCGUUAGGCGCGGAUUGUGUAGCAUAGGCGGGAGGCUUCGAAGCGUGGGCGCCAGCUCAUGUGGAGCCGCAAGGUGAAAUACCGCUCUGUUCUCGUUUGACGUCUAACCUCGACAAGUCAUCCUUGUCAGGGACAGUGCCUGGCGGGUAGUUCAACUGGGGCGGUUGCCUCCCAAAGAGUAACGGAGGCGCUCAAAGGUCCGCUCAGCCCGGUUGGCAAUCGGGUGUCGAGUGUAAUCGCACAAGCGGGCUUGACUGCGAGGACGACGGUCCGAGCAGGGACGAAAGUCGGAGAUAGUGAUCCGGUGCCGGCGCACGGGCGCGGCAUCGCUCAACGGAUAAAAGGUACCCCGGGGAUAACAGGCUGAUCAUUCCCAAGAGUCCAUAUCGACGGGAUGGUUUGGCACCUCGAUGUCGGCUCGUCGCAUCCUGGGGCUGGAGCAGGUCCCAAGGGUUCGGCUGUUCGCCGAUUAAAGCGGCACGCGAGCUGGGUUCAGAACGUCGUGAGACAGUUUGGUCUCUAUCCUCUGCGCUCGUUGGAAUCCUGAGGAGGCCUGCCCAUAGUACGAGAGGACCUGGGUGGACGAACCUCUGGUAUGCCGGUUGUCGCGCCAGCGGCACGGCCGGUUGGCUACGUUCGGGAGGGAUAACCGCUGAAAGCAUCUAAGCGGGAAGCCUGCUCCAAGAUUAGGAUUCCAUGGAUCUUCGAGAUCCUGUAGCCCGCAUGUUGAACACGUGUUUGAUAGGCCGGAGGUGGAAGCCCCGUGAGGGGUGGAGCCGACCGGUACUAACGGGCGACGGCGACAUAAC